AUUGAACGCUGGCGGAAUGCUUUACACAUGCAAGUCGAACGGCAGCACGGACUUCGGUCUGGUGGCGAGUGGCGAACGGGUGAGUAAUACAUCAGAACGUGCCCAAUCGUGGGGGAUAACGUAGCGAAAGCUACGCUAAUACCGCAUACGAUCUAAGGAUGAAAGCGGGGGAUCGCAAGACCUUGCGCGAUUGGAGCGGCCGAUGGCAGAUUAGGUAGUUGGUAGGGUAAAGGCCAACCAAGCCGACGAUCUGUAGCUGGUCUGAGAGGACGACCAGCCACACUGGAACUGAGACACGGUCCAGACUCCUACGGGAGGCAGCAGUGGGGAAUUUUGGACAAUGGGCGAAAGCCUGAUCCAGCCAUUCCGCGUGCAGGAUGAAGGCCCUCGGGUUGUAAACUGCUUUUGUACAGAACGAAAAGGUUUCUACUAAUACUAGGAGCUCAUGACGGUACUGUAAGAAUAAGCACCGGCUAACUACGUGCCAGCCGCCGCCGUAA
This 500-nucleotide ribosomal RNA is filed under the name uncultured bacterium. RNAcentral's name for it is "partial 16S ribosomal RNA". It matches the Rfam family "Bacterial small subunit ribosomal RNA", at positions 30 to 523 of the family's 1533-position model. The record is from RNAcentral.